GACGAACGCUGGCGGCGUGCCUAAUACAUGCAAGUAGAACGCUGAAGAGAGGAGCUUGCUCUUCUUGGAUGAGUUGCGAACGGGUGAGUAACGCGUAGGUAACCUGCCUUGUAGCGGGGGAUAACUAUUGGAAACGAUAGCUAAUACCGCAUAACAAUGGAUGACCCAUGUCAUUUAUUUGAAAGGGGCAAAUGCUCCACUACAAGAUGGACCUGCGUUGUAUUAGCUAGUAGGUGAGGUAACGGCUCACCUAGGCGACGAUACAUAGCCGACCUGAGAGGGUGAUCGGCCACACUGGGACUGAGACACGGCCCAGACUCCUACGGGAGGCAGCAGUAGGGAAUCUUCGGCAAUGGGGGCAACCCUGACCGAGCAACGCCGCGUGAGUGAAGAAGGUUUUCGGAUCGUAAAGCUCUGUUGUAAGUCAAGAACGAGUGUGAGAGUGGAAAGUUCACACUGUGACGGUAGCUUACCAGAAAGGGACGGCUAACUACGUGCCAGCAGCCGCGGUAAUACGUAGGUCCCGAGCGUUGUCCGGAUUUAUUGGGCGUAAAGCGAGCGCAGGCGGUUUGAUAAGUCUGAAGUUAAAGGCUGUGGCUCAACCAUAGUUCGCUUUGGAAACUGUCAAACUUGAGUGCAGAAGGGGAGAGUGGAAUUCCAUGUGUAGCGGUGAAAUGCGUAGAUAUAUGGAGGAACACCGGUGGCGAAAGCGGCUCUCUGGUCUGUAACUGACGCUGAGGCUCGAAAGCGUGGGGAGCGAACAGGAUUAGAUACCCUGGUAGUCCACGCCGUAAACGAUGAGUGCUAGGUGUUGGAUCCUUUCCGGGAUUCAGUGCCGCAGCUAACGCAUUAAGCACUCCGCCUGGGGAGUACGACCGCAAGGUUGAAACUCAAAGGAAUUGACGGGGGCCCGCACAAGCGGUGGAGCAUGUGGUUUAAUUCGAAGCAACGCGAAGAACCUUACCAGGUCUUGACAUCCCGAUGCUAUUUCUAGAGAUAGAAAGUUACUUCGGUACAUCGGUGACAGGUGGUGCAUGGUUGUCGUCAGCUCGUGUCGUGAGAUGUUGGGUUAAGUCCCGCAACGAGCGCAACCCCUAUUGUUAGUUGCCAUCAUUCAGUUGGGCACUCUAGCGAGACUGCCGGUAAUAAACCGGAGGAAGGUGGGGAUGACGUCAAAUCAUCAUGCCCCUUAUGACCUGGGCUACACACGUGCUACAAUGGUUGGUACAACGAGUUGCGAGUCGGUGACGGCAAGCUAAUCUCUUAAAGCCAAUCUCAGUUCGGAUUGUAGGCUGCAACUCGCCUACAUGAAGUCGGAAUCGCUAGUAAUCGCGGAUCAGCACGCCGCGGUGAAUACGUUCCCGGGCCU
RNAcentral lists this ribosomal RNA (1369 nucleotides) under uncultured bacterium. Its description in RNAcentral is "bacterial SSU rRNA". It matches the Rfam family "Bacterial small subunit ribosomal RNA", at positions 28 to 1381 of the family's 1533-position model. The record is from RNAcentral.